GAUGAAGAACGUAGCGAAAUGCGAUAAGUAAUGUGAAUUGCAGAAUUCAGUGAAUCAUCGAAUCUUUGAACGCACAUUGCGCCCGCCAGUAUCCUGGUGGGCAUGCCUGUUCGAGCGUCAUUUCAACCAUCAAGCCCCCGGCUUGUGUUGGGGACCUGCGGCUGCCGCAGGCCCUGAAAUGCAGUGGCGGGCUCGCUGUCACUCCGAGCGUAGUAGUUACAUCUCGCUCUGGGCGUGCUGCGGGUUCCGGCCGUUAAAAGCCUUAUUUACCCAAGGUUGACCUCGGAUCAGGUAGGAAGACCCGCUGAACUUAAGCAUAUCAAUAAGCGGAGGA
This 334-nucleotide unclassified non-coding RNA is filed under the name soil metagenome. RNAcentral describes it as "partial contains 5.8S ribosomal RNA, internal transcribed spacer 2, and large subunit ribosomal RNA". The stretch from base 1 to 120 matches the Rfam family "5.8S ribosomal RNA", at positions 35 to 154 of the family's 154-position model. The record is from RNAcentral.